This 72-nucleotide transfer RNA is filed under the name Camelus bactrianus (Bactrian camel). It matches the Rfam family "tRNA". From Rfam's summary of the family: Transfer RNA (tRNA) molecules are approximately 80 nucleotides in length. Lineage: Eukaryota; Metazoa; Chordata; Mammalia; Artiodactyla; Camelidae. The record is from Rfam by way of RNAcentral. RNAcentral also lists the same sequence under 1 other name.
GGGGGUAUAGCUUCGUGGUAGAGAGUGUGCUUAGCAUGCACAAGGUCCUGGGUUCAGCCCCCAGUACCUUUG